AGGACUCUUCACAAACCAAAGAACUCCCCAGAAUCUCCCUCCUCUGAGUUCACCCAACUGCUGUGAGUCUGCCCAGGUGCUGCUGGGAGCAGCACACAGCUCUACACCCAAAGCUCAGCUCUGCCUCCUCAGGCUCUCCUGGGGCUAAUCAAGGCCUAUUCAAGUCCCACCAGACUCGCUUCUUCACACACAUCAGGCUCAGCAGAACCUACACGGGUGCCUUUCUUGUUUUGUUUUUGUUUCUAAGGGCUUGGGAGGGGAGGAAUUGCUGCAAUCCCUCUAAGGCCUCUUGCCUCAGCUGCACCAUACAGCUGCUGUGUGGUUAAGCAAGACUGCACUGGCAGGGCAGCACUGGAGCCAGAGCUGUAUCAUUAUCCCUGCUGGCCAAUUGUUUCAUCAUGGAACUCUGCAAUCACAGUCCAGCUUGCAGACAAAGGGGGCUCUAAAACACAGCUCCAACUGCUCAGCAACAGGAGGCUUCUAAUGUUCAGAGCAGGCACCUGAACAGGGCAUGCUUUGGGAUGACAGCAAACAACCCAAACCCAAACACAGACACCACCUGGACCUUGGGACUGAACUUUGGCACCUCUCCACAUCCACCGCUGUUACUCAGACCUUCCUUGGAAAAUGUAAGCUGAUACCUUUCAAAAAAUAAACAAAAGACCUCACCUAUAA
Passer domesticus (house sparrow) is the source of this 675-nucleotide long non-coding RNA. RefSeq lists it as uncharacterized. The transcript is spliced from 2 exons. Lineage: Eukaryota; Metazoa; Chordata; Aves; Passeriformes; Passeridae. The record is from RefSeq and is a predicted model, not a curated record.